Molecule: ribosomal RNA, 253 nt
Filed under: uncultured bacterium
Lineage: Bacteria
Description: partial 16S ribosomal RNA
Rfam family: Bacterial small subunit ribosomal RNA
Source: RNAcentral
UACGUAGGGUCCGAGCGUUGUCCGGAAUUAUUGGGCGUAAAGGGCUCGUAGGCGGUUUGUCGCGUCGGGAGUGAAAACACGGGGCUUAACCCCGUGCCUGCUUCCGAUACGGGCAGACUAGAGGUAUGCAGGGGAGAACGGAAUUCCUGGUGUAGCGGUGAAAUGCGCAGAUAUCAGGAGGAACACCGGUGGCGAAGGCGGAUCUCUGGGCCUUACCUGACGCUGAGGAGCGAAAGCGUGGGGAGCAAACAGG